This 312-nucleotide ribosomal RNA is filed under the name Escherichia coli. Its description in RNAcentral is "bacterial SSU rRNA". It matches the Rfam family "Bacterial small subunit ribosomal RNA", at positions 1205 to 1516 of the family's 1533-position model. The record is from RNAcentral. Lineage: Bacteria; Pseudomonadati; Pseudomonadota; Gammaproteobacteria; Enterobacterales; Enterobacteriaceae.
CGACCAGGGCUACACACGUGCUACAAUGGCGCAUACAAAGAGAAGCGACCUCGCGAGAGCAAGCGGACCUCAUAAAGUGCGUCGUAGUCCGGAUUGGAGUCUGCAACUCGACUCCAUGAAGUCGGAAUCGCUAGUAAUCGUGGAUCAGAAUGCCACGGUGAAUACGUUCCCGGGCCUUGUACACACCGCCCGUCACACCAUGGGAGUGGGUUGCAAAAGAAGUAGGUAGCUUAACCUUCGGGAGGGCGCUUACCACUUUGUGAUUCAUGACUGGGGUGAAGUCGUAACAAGGUAACCGUAGGGGAACCUGCG